RNAcentral lists this long non-coding RNA (5984 nucleotides) under Populus tremula. Its description in RNAcentral is "long non-coding RNA (PTRE_LNC002212)". Lineage: Eukaryota; Viridiplantae; Streptophyta; Magnoliopsida; Malpighiales; Salicaceae. The record is from RNAcentral.
AUGUUUCAACAAAUUAAUCCAUCAAAUCCCCCCCUUUUCUUUUCUUGUUGUUGCCUACACCCUCUAGAACUCAAGUCUUGAUAAUCUUGCAAGAAUAGGAAAAAUUAUCCAACAAAAGGUGCAGUCAACUAUCAACGUAACGCCUUACUAAAAAAAGGAAACGAAAAGUCAAUGUUUCCAAGUUAUCAGUCAAUGCCAUUACCAUUUCUCUAAAAAACAGUGAGUUUUUUUAGGAAGCUGUGAAGAAUAAAUCCAUUCCUAGCAAGUAUUUUGAGGCUACCCUUUGUUUGUCCUAACUGGAUUGUCGAGUGUGAGUCAAACAAACAGCCUUGGCUUCUUUUUUUGUUUGUACAUUUGUAUUUAAUCUCCUUCAGCUUCUCUCCUUCCCUUUCAUCACUUUAUACAGACAGCCUCUUCUUCCAUUCCUAAAUCCUGUUCCUCCAAGGUUGCUUGCUGAAAGUAGCUGGAUUUUCACCGCCUUGCAUCACUGAAGAAUCAGAGGCCUGUUCUGUGAGGUACGGUUUCUUUUUACCUGCUCAAAUGCCAAAUUCAUGUUACUGGAAUUUGAGUAUUUCUUGAUAUGGCAUCUCAUGGUUGCAUUUAUAGACAAUCUAAAUACCGUAUAAACUAACAGUUCAUGUUUUGGCAGAGCAAACACGCUCUCUUUUUCUUAGCUAUUAUAUUUGAUAGUUUUGAGCAGGAGAGUCAAGCUUCAUCAGAAAAUAGAUAUUAGAACAAUAUUAGGCACCAUGCAGGAAAAACAAGACUAUGCCAGCCAGAUUACGACAGAUGAGUUUUGUUCUUCCUAUAUGCUCCUAUUCCUGGUCAGAAUAUGAAAAACCUUAAGGAAAUUUACAUAAUCUGUUGAGGGAAACAUCAAUGCAAACCCCAGUUAACAUUAUAUCUUCUUCUUUCAAAAAAAAAAAAAAAAAACUUAUAAGGGUGAAUUCCUUGCAUUAAAUUCAAUAGAAUUUUAUAGAUAAAAGGAGCAAAUUACCUUUAGAAUCUGACCCAUCUUCUGCAUUAGGUCCCGAGCCGGAUAAAACAGGAACUCAAUUUGAAUUAUGCUGGUCAAAAUCAUGGUUCUGAGACUGAUAGGAAGCAAUAGAAAUUGGGAAGGGAGAGAGAUUAACACUUGCCUGUAACCAUUCAAGAGUCAAAAGAAAAUAGGUAAGCCUAAAGCCAAGCCAGAACCCAUAACAAUGUGUCUCAAGACACUCAAACACACCAUGCAAAAGGCAUUGCUACUUGUUAUUGGCAAAUGUGAUUGCCACGUCCAAAAUAUGGCUCCAUGUCUAUGGAUUGUAACUCAAGCAUGGUAUAUAUAAUUCCUAUCUCACUGCAAUGAAAGCUACCUUCGUCUUUUAGUUAAAGUUUAUACUUUUGACUGCUCUAAAAUGGAAGGAGUUAGGCAAGCCAAGGUGCUGCCAAACAUUUCAUGGGCACUUUCACUAAUAUAUAUAUAUGUACACGCUUUGAUGUAAUAGAUGUCACUCUUUAGAUGCAUGAAUUCUGCCUAACCGUAUGCAUGCUUGUUCCAUAAAUGAGAGGCUUCCAGCUCACAAAUUUGAACCUUUUCAGGUCGUAGCCUAAAUGAGUUGGGAGCAAACUUGUACAUUGAGAUAAGCAUCAAUGGAGAAGCUGCCAAGCCAGAGCACAGUCGGUGGUAAACCUAUUACUACAUUUGUGCAAACAGACACAAAGGCCUUUCGUGAUGUUGUUCAGCGGUUAACAGGCUCAUCAGAGGGUGAUGCAGCAGAAGGAACAGCAGGAGCAGCAACAAAGAUUGCAGGCAUAAAGAGAUCAACACCUAAACUCCAUGAAAGAAGGCAGAACCUAAGGCCCAAGCUAGAGAUAGUGAAGCCCCCUCUUAUCUUCAAACCUAGUACAUCGCCAACAACAUCGGGUAAUCACAGUCUUCUUCCAAGUCCUGCAGGAACCCCUUCGUUCAUGUUCUCCCCUUCCACCAUUUUAUCAAAACUGUCAAUCCAAGAGCAGGGGAGCAGAGGAGAGUCAGCAAUAUCUGACUUAAAUAACGAGGAAGAAGAGAAAGCCAUUAAAGAGAGGCGAUUUUACCUGCAUCCAUCACCACGGUCUAAACCUGGUUACACUGAACCAGAGUUGCUCGCCUUGUUUCCUUUAACAUCCCCCCAAGCAAGUGACAAACACUAAUUUUGACAGUGCAUAUCCUCCCACUGGAAUAACUUUUUUCCAUGCAAAGUAAAGGACGUUGUGUUAACUGUUACCAUAAACAGAUGUUAUCGUUUUUGAAAAAGCACCAAGUACUGUAAUGGUAUUGUUCUUAUAAUUCUCAAGAGAUCAUUUUUCAUCACAAAUAAGCAUGCGCGGUGACUCAUGCGAGUGCAGAAAUGACGACUAAGGUUUCCAUUUAUAAUAUAAUGAAUGAGAAAAAGUAUAGGGGAUUAGGUGCCAUUGGAAGCCUUCAUCAUAUCUUCUUGAAGCAUGCAUGGUUAACUUUUCAGGAUAUCGCUGUAGUCUGCCCAUAGGUUAUUUUUCGCUAUACAAUCAGUGUCCAUCUUACUCUCAUUUUCCUGACCUUUUUGUUGAAUGUCAUCUGUGGUCUAAUUGCUGAGGGAUUGCAACCAUCUAACAAAAAUGACAGAAGAAAUCUGAACUCUUUGAAAAGUGUGUUUACAGGUAAAUAUUUCUAAAGGAAAGGAUUGACACACUGAAAUCUAGACUAUAACUAAAAAAUUGUAGUGUAAUAGUUGAAUAUAUAUAUAUAUAACCGAAAUUUCAACAAAGUUUCUUUUAUAUUUUUUUUUAUACCAUGAUAUCGACUCAAUAUUCUCAACCUGUAAACAUCAAUCAAAAUAAUCAUCCCAUCAUCUGAACCUUUAAAACUCAACCAUAAUAUCAAAUUCUCAUUUCCAUAUUCUAUAAAACAAUUAUUUAAAGUCAAUUAAUCCAUAGCAUGCAUUACAUCAUAUAUAAGUAAUUAAGUUAUAUAUUAUAAUUCUUAAACACAAAAGUGUAUUACAACAAAAUAUUGGUUCUUCCAAUAACAUCAAUUACUUAACAAAAUUAUCCAUCCAUACAUCUACUUUUCAAUUUGAGGGUACCUAAAAACAUAAUCAUAUUAAGCAUGAUUAAAAUUAUACAUUACGAUAAACAAAUACUUAAGGACUACUUAUUUAUGUGCAUUAAUGUAAUUCCAACAUCAUUAAAUGAAAUAUCUUAUCUUUAGUUAUUCAAUAAUUUCAUCAAUUCUUAAUAUGAUUUCCGAAUAGAAAUAAAUUUAUGAAAAUAACAAGAAUAUCUCUAACAAAUCCAUAUAUUCAACUUUAAUUUAAAUCAAUUAAAUCCAACAAUUAUCCAUUAUACCAAGUAUUUAUCUCAUCAACCAGGGAGUUAAAUUCUCUUAACUUACCCAUUCGUCAGGAUACUAUUUCCCUUAACUAGGAAAUCAUUAUCUUCAUGUACCCAUUUAUCUGGACAUUAUUUCCAUUAACCAAAAAAUAAUUUUUCAAAUUCGCCUAUUCAACAGGGUAUUAAACUACCUCUUUAUUUCAUAGCUUUAUACUAAAAUUACUAUCUAAGAAAAUUCCUUCUACGAUAAUUUCAAAUAAGCUAUUAAGUUACUUUAAAGUGUUGAACACCUACCUGGUGCUUGUGUGCGCGACGAGGUCCCUUGUAGAUUAGAUCCUACGGCCUCAUCUGUACCAACACAAUUUACCAUUCCAUUGCUCAUUCAUUUGAACUGGUAAAAUUAUAAUACUAAUUACAUAUUUCUUGAUUAAAUCCAACACCCUUACAUAAGUUUAAUUAAACUUUUAAAUAAAAAAGGAUAAAAUCACCUUUUUAGUUUUUUUUAUUGAUAUAAGUCCCCGAAUUCUCCAACGAUUUACUCGAUUUGUCUAAAACCACCCUCCUAAAUUAAUGAAGUCCAAAUCAAAACUUUUCUCUCUUUUCUCUCUCUCUUUUUGUUAUGUGUUAUUGCCGAACUUCAAUAAGGAAAGAAGGUGAGAUUUUUUCUCCAUUCUUACAAACAUCAUUAUUCAAUUAACUUAUCAACAUCAAUUAUCUACAAUUUGAUAAGAUUUCUAAACAAUUUUAUUAAAACUCAAUUGUCCUAAUUUUCUUUUUCAUAGCCGAAAUUCAUUUAAAAGAAGAAAGUGAGGAUUUUUCUUCUCUCUUUGAAAAAUCCUUACUUAUUUCAUCUAUUAACAUUUAUAAACCUAUAUUUUCCCACAAUUUCCAAACAAUUGCAUUAAAACCUUAAAUCUUUCAAAUCUUUCUCUUUGGCCGAAACCUCUAAUAAAAAGGGGAAAGGGAUUUUGUUUCUUCUAUUUAAAAUUAAACACUUACCCAAUCAUAAUCCAUGCUUUCUAAUAUGGUUCAAUCAUAAUUUCCAUUAUUCUCAUAAUUAAUAUCAUAAACCCAUAAUUUCACAUAAUCACAAUAAUUCAAUUCCUUCAUCAAAACAUAAAAUUUGAGAAAUUAAUCACUUGGAGCAUGUUCUUUACUUUACUUUCAUAAGGAUUCAAGGAAAGAAUGCAAAAAAAAAUCAAGUUGUCUUGUCCUCCCUCUUCAAACCCUAGCUUGAAUUUCUUCUUCCAAAACACUCAUAACACUAAAAUCACCCCUCUAAAUUUGUUUAACUAAGUUAAUCACUCCAAUUAUACACUUUUAUUGAUGAAAUCAACAAGAAUUCAAGUAGAAAAAUCACACAAAACCUCUCCCUCUCUUUGUUUUAAACCGUCGGCCAAGAGAGAAAAAUGGGGCAUUUAUAGUCUAAUUUUUCUUGUAUUUACACAUUGGCUCUCAUUACUUCUUCUUUCUAUUUUUGUCCCACAAUUCUAUUUUUUACUUAAUUUACACCAUAACACCUUCUCUUUUAUUCUAUUGUAUCUCUUCACAAUACCUGAAAUCCUUUUAUUUAAUCUAUCCAGUGUUUUAUUUAUUUUGUUCGGAUUAUAAUUUAUCGGGUUUUCACAGGUGCAUUAUUAGGAAUUCUUUGCAUACAAACACAAAACUAUUGUUUAGAAAGCUAAAAACCAGGAGUUUAUAAACAAUAUAUCUUGCAUAGUACUUUCUCUAGUCAUAUCUGACAUGUUUGCUUAUCUUUACUAUUCAAUUAUAUUCAUGUGAGGUAAAGUUCCAUUAAGCACAGCAAUAAUCACUUCAAUUCAUGAACUUAAAUAAGAACAAGUUACAAAGUUUAAGGCGCAUCCGUUUUAUCUGUUGGAGUUUCCCAGCAGUUGGGAGACAGUCAUACUAGUCUUUCAAAAUAACAUAUGAAACAAUACCAGGUCACUAAAAGAAAUUGUCCAAUUAAGUUGUUAACGAAUAACUUUCAGAUGCUAUCUACUAGAGGUUAUGUAGAAUUUUAUGAUGUCAAAAGUUCUAUGGUUGGGACUUGCCUCUCCAGGAAUAUGGAUACUUGAGGGCAGAUGGAUGUGAGUUAGAAAGGCAUUGAACCUUGAUGCUCAACUAUAUAGAAACUGUGUUGAACAGAAAUCUGCCAAAAAAAUAAAAAUCCUCUUAAGUUGAUCAUAAACCAGGUGGCAAACAAAUAUUAAACAAAAUGGUGACAUGUUAGAGAUAAAUGAACAAGUGUAAAUACAGCUAUGAAAACCUCAGUCUCUUAUAAUUAUGAAAAUAUCCAAUCUCAAUGCCCACAACUCACUAAGGUAUGCCACCAAAACAGAUGAAGCAAGCAGAAGGAAUUGUUUGACACAUUGAGGCCUUCCAAAGGACUGUGGAGUGACUCAUUUUGAUGAGUUUGUACAGAUUAAGGCCAAACAAGGGGUCUAAUGAAAUCCACACUUUUACAAUUUGUCAUUUAGAUGCAAUAGAUUUUAUCCCUUAUUUUGAAGUUUCUAUAGAAGCAAUAAGAUAAAAACAUUAAUUUGAAGUUGGAAACAUACCAAAACUGUAGCAGAAACUCAUUCCAUUAUCCUGACACAGAAGUUCGGAAACAUUGCAUCCAAUCGAUUAACUUGAAGUGGAUCAUGUUUAAC